GCCAGGUGUGAUGGCUCACACCUGUAAUCCCAGCACUUUGGGAGGCUGAGGUGGGUGGAUCACCUGAGGUCAGGAGUUUGAGACCAGCCUGGCCAACAUGGUGAAACCCCAUCUCUA
Pongo abelii (Sumatran orangutan) is the source of this 117-nucleotide unclassified non-coding RNA. It matches the Rfam family "Metazoan signal recognition particle RNA". Rfam says of the family: The signal recognition particle (SRP) is a universally conserved ribonucleoprotein. It is involved in the co-translational targeting of proteins to membranes. The record is from Ensembl. NCBI's taxonomy places the organism in Eukaryota, Metazoa, Chordata, Mammalia, Primates, Hominidae.